CCCAAAUAAAACUUUUUUAUUUGCUGGGUUGGAGCUGCUUUGGCCGAUGGAGUAAAAGGCGAAAUGCUUAUAUUUUUCCCUUGUCCCUCCUACGCGUUUCG
Long non-coding RNA from Rhagoletis zephyria (snowberry fruit fly), 101 nucleotides. RefSeq lists it as uncharacterized. Lineage: Eukaryota; Metazoa; Arthropoda; Insecta; Diptera; Tephritidae. The record is from RefSeq and is a predicted model, not a curated record.